This is a small nucleolar RNA of Callithrix jacchus (white-tufted-ear marmoset), 117 nucleotides long. The record is from Ensembl. NCBI's taxonomy places the organism in Eukaryota, Metazoa, Chordata, Mammalia, Primates, Cebidae.
UGGAUGUUACCUAGGCACUUAGCACGCAGUUUCUCGUCUGCUGUGAACAUAAUAGAGAAUUCCUCACUGGGUUUUCUGUCUGCCACCCUGCUAGUGAUCCAUCCACUGGGAACAUCU